Molecule: ribosomal RNA, 329 nt
Filed under: Tubifex blanchardi
Lineage: Eukaryota; Metazoa; Annelida; Clitellata; Tubificida; Naididae
Description: eukaryotic LSU rRNA
Rfam family: Eukaryotic large subunit ribosomal RNA
Source: RNAcentral
AUUAAUAAGCGGAGGAAAAGAAACUAACCAGGAUUCCCCUAGUAACGGCGAGUGAAGCGGGAAGAGCCCAGCACCGAAUCGCACGCCUCACCGGCGUUGCGAACUGUGGUGUUUAGGACGAGCGCAUGCGCGGCGAGACGGCGUCAGAGUCCUCCUGAUCGGGGCUUUGCCAGAGCGGGUGUCAGCCCUCUACGGCGCCGGAUCGACGUGCCCGCCACGUCCUCGGAGUCGGGUUGUUUGAGAAUGCAGCCCAAAGCGGGUGGUAAACUCCAUCUAAGGCUAAAUACAGACACGAGUCCGAUAGCGAACAAGUACCGUGAGGGAAAGUU